This is a long non-coding RNA of Parus major (Great Tit), 1835 nucleotides long. The record is from Ensembl. NCBI's taxonomy places the organism in Eukaryota, Metazoa, Chordata, Aves, Passeriformes, Paridae.
UGCUGAUAAGGCCUGUUGGUAAAAAAAAAUCACAUUUUUAUUUUCCCACAGAAGAAGAAAUAGUGGUAUUUACCACCUGUGAAUUUUGUUGCACUUUACCAGUUUAUUUUAUGAGGCUCCUUUACAUCACUCCCAUAUUUCCCCAUAGGAUUCUGGGCUUAAUCAAACCAUUCCUUAAAGCCCAAGUAUUGGUCUGACUUUUAUUGUCACUGAAGCAUUCUCAGGGUUAAUAUUUGGUGACAGAAGCAGAAGAUGCCCCUAGCACUGCUCUCACUAUGCAGAAAUAGAACCAUGACAGAAUUUUUUUUCUCUUUUGUUACUUCUCAGGAGUAAUGAGACCUCUCCCAAUGACUCAGUGAUACUCUCCUCACCAGGUAUUUCAACAGGACCUGCCCUUACCAAAGAAGAGUUUUGCUGACAGCUUCCCAGCACUGCAGAGAUCCCUGACUUUCUGAGCCAUCUUGCCACUGCAAUUAAUGCCAGCUGAGGAUUAAAUAACUUCAGUGGGCUUCUGUUAACCUGUACUGCUCCAAGUUCUACACUGUGUGUGUGGUGCUCUGAUGGCUCUGCACAGACCUGGAGAGUUACAGAUUUCCAGCUUCCAUACUCCCACUGUUGGUACAGAAAAGCUUCAGGAAUCAAGCUGUCACUUUAGGUUUCCACAGCUGUUUAUAGAAGUGUAGCCAUGAGCCCCAGAGGUGGAGUUUGUCAUCCAAAGUCUGAAACAGAGGCGCAGCAGAGUACAGCAGUGCUCAGUGUACUUCCUGCAGCCAGAGAUGUCCACAAGCUCCAGGGAGCAGGGAUAAUACCAGAGCACACCUUGUCCAGGAAGCAGAAAUGCCCCCGUGGGAGCAAGAGGAACAGCCUGCUGCCUCUGGAAAGAGUGGAAAAGAAAGAGAACUGCUGUGUAAGGAAUUGUUGCUUGCAACGUAUUUUUCUGAGCAAUAAAAAUACCUUCAAGACAGCAGUACAAUUCUCUUUUUAGCCUUGACACCUCCAAAUCCUAAUACACGUGGCUGAGUUAGAUGGAAAGGUAUUAUUAGGUUUUUAUUAGAUUAUGAUGCAAACUCAGUCUGGCUAGGCUCAUCAGGCAGUAAAUCUAGUGUCAACAGCUGUGACCAAAUUCUGCUCCUGUACCUGUUACUGCUUGUGGUCAGUUUUCCUCUGGUUUUCUGUCAGUUGUGAGAAAGGCAUGCAUGUACCAGGGCAGGCUUCCAGUACAACCUGUAUUGACAGAGUAAUUGUGAUUGUGCUCCUAAAUGAAAUCAGGAAUAAUUCUAUUAAAAGAAGAAGAGUUAUUCUUCCUCACACAAUGCAGGAUUCCAAAAUUCAGGCCUUAAUCACACAAAUAGGACUUUUAUGAUACACCAUGGGUAUUAGACAUGGCUUUUACCAUCAGUGACUUCUUGUUUCAGCAAUAACCUUUUUUCAGCUCCUGUGUGGCAGCCACAUGUUGUGCUAAAGAAGUGAAUCAAACUCUGUUAGCCAGGGAGACCUGGAGAUCUGCUGUUGUCCUCCACAGAGACUGCACAAAAAUUGUCACUCUGAAAGCUGCCCUGGAUCCUGUGAACACAGCAAGAGCUGUUUCCAUUCCAGGCAGUGCCACAGUCCCACUUCAGGAAUGCCAAACUCACUUUAAUCCUGCUCUGACUGCUGCAGGAGCUCAGCAGUGAAGCAAAGGUACAGAUGGAAACCCAGGCCAAGCUCACAGAUGUCCUGUGGCAGAGGAGCUGCUGUGCACUCUGUAACACACAGAAUAGAUGCUGUGAUUUUAAAGGUUGCAAUACACCAAGACUUCCUCCAGAAAGAAUAAAAGCUCACCUGACAGGAUGGCA